Molecule: long non-coding RNA, 2750 nt
Organism: Gasterosteus aculeatus aculeatus (three-spined stickleback)
Lineage: Eukaryota; Metazoa; Chordata; Actinopteri; Perciformes; Gasterosteidae
Source: Ensembl
UUUCCGUAAAAUUGCGACCUUUUUUUACAGUGUACCCGAUGUAGCAGGUCACUCACCUCAUGCAGGAGGAGGUCUCUCACCUCAGGCAGGAGGGGGAGGUCUCUCACCUCAGGCAGGAGGAGGUCUCUCACCUCAGGCAGGAGGAGGUCUCUCACCUCAGGCAGGAGGAGGAGGUAUCCGUCCCAGUAAAAAGCACUUUAGAAACAGCCGUGCUCGGCUUCAUCAGCCACUAAGCCGACUCCGGCUCCGACCAAUCAGUUCCGAGUCCCGCAGCCAGGCCUCCCUUUGGCCACUUCCUGCUGAGAUAAAACCAUCAGCCACGGGCUCUGCCCCCCCCCCCCUGCCGGUGGAGACGGCGACCCGGUGAGGGGUGAUGGGGGAAGGCUGGCAGCAGGUGACAGCAGAGCGAGUUUCCCUCAGCAGGUGACACCUCAACCCUGAAGCACUGAUGCCUCCUUAUCGCCGCUGACAUGGAGAGAAAACGCUGACGAUCCAGCAAGUUUUUUUUUUUACCAGUUAUCUGCUGAGCGAGUUCAUUCCUCCAAGAAGAAUCCACGUGGAAGCAGAGACUCAAGAAGAACUGCACAUCGUCUUUUCGCAUGCAGGUUUGGUCCAAGAACAGCAGAGUGAUGCCUUAUGGAUGAGACAUCAUGGCCGGUGCCCGGCAGCGUCAGAGCGAUGCCGGGGGGGUUCGACAGCUGUCAGUGAGUGUCCUGUAAAGAAGGUGGGUCACAGCUUCUCCGAGGAAAGAACCAGACCUGCCUCUGUGCUGGGACGCAAUCACAGUCUUUAGGAUGAGAGCUGGUGACUCAGGUGAAGGGGGCAUCGCAGUGGUGAAAUGAAGCCGGUCUAAUACACACACUGCGUCCUCGUGUGAAUAUAUUAAUGCAUUAUUUCUACAGCUGCUGACCUGAGCGCUUCAAGCCAGCCAUUAGGACGCUUAGUUUAGACCUGGUUAAACCGCGGAAAGGACUCGAGACUCGAGGCUGGUCAGAUCAGUCGCGCUUAGCGAGGUGACGGACGUAGGACGACUGACUCGAGACUUGUCUCACAGUGUCCCCUUGGAUCCGCAUUAGAUCGUUCACCUGUUUUUCCCCUGUCUCCUCCCACACCAGGUGUUCCCUGUUGGCCAAUUAUCCCUCGGGCAUAUAACCUGUGUCUUCUCCCUGUUCCUGUUGCCAGUUCGUCUUGUGUGUUCCACCAGGUCUUACCAGCGUUGUAUCCCUGUAGUGCCCAGUCGAUUCUAGAGAUCCCCCGUGUACGGAACUCCUGCCUGCCUCCGACACCGACACCGCCUGCCCGAAUUCCUCUACAUUAAAGCUUAUUCCUCACAUCUGCGUUUGGGUCUCUGUCUGAGCUGUGAUACGUUCUCACGACUUGUCGACUGUGUUUCUUGUCCACAGACCGGCUAACGGUACUUCGUUUCGGAAGUUGGACUCAAUCACUUUGGUUUUAAUGCUUCUGCAAAACGCUACUUGGUUUGUCUCCGACUGAAACUUACCAAAGAUCAAGAAAACAAUCCAGAAAAAGAACAUUGUGUCCCUGGUCAGAGGUGAGGUACCAGUAAGAGUUCCACAAACGAGGUGUUGUCAGUUGUUGUUCUGCAAUGCAUUGUGGGAAACUACUGUGCUUUAGCAGCCCACUUGGAUAUCAAGUGGAUUUAGUAUAAACUCUUUUUUUCAAAAGCUCCACAGAAUAAGUCUGAGAUUCAGUGUGUAGGGUGAUGACUCACCAGUUGUAGAGAGCGUGUGUGUGUGUGUGUGUGUGUGUGUGUGUGUGUGUGUGUGUGUGUCUCCAUUACAAGUUUGAGGUUUAGGGCUGAGGCUGAUUGACACCAUCAGCCUGUCGCCUCGCUUCGUGUUCUUUGUCAUCGUCCAUCUCUUCCUCACUGGGGAUGAAGAGCUAAAGGAAGGAAUCAGAUAUGAAUAUUAUUUCUCCCUGUCUGAGAUCUCCAGUCCGACAGCGAGCUUCAACCCCCCCAAGACCCCCGCUCGUCUGCAGCAAUAACAGCAGACAACAAACUUGUUAAAAGUCUGGGCCUUCACUCAGACUAAAGCUUCUAGUUUCCCAGAACAAGAUGCUCUGGACUUUUAACUGUGUCUGGACAAAAAUAAGUCUUUCAUUUCCAGAAGGAUAAUACGGACAUUUAAAUUCUCUUUGAGUCAGAAGACCUCGUCCAUCGUGAUUACUAAGUGUCACCUGUAAUUUAUUAACAGCAACAAUUUUAAACACAAUCAAUUCAUUUCAGCAGAAUCAACUAGAAGGAAUGAAACGGGUCUUUAGACAUGCAAACGUGUGAACAUAAUAGCUGUGCAAUUUCUUAUUAACGUUCUCUACUGAAAUGUACAUUUCUUCCCAAUCAGCAUUGUGAAAAAACACGACUGAUUGUUUGUGGUUUGUGUGUUUGCAUUAGCCUGCUAGCUCACUGGUAGCCAUCACUAAAGUGUCUGGUUGGAGUUAGCAUGUCACACGGCACGAGCUCCACUAUUUAAUGAAGAUAUUCAAAUAAAAUCAAUAAAUAGUCUCUGGUGUCUGCAGACACAACUUUCUCAUUCUAAUAUGUGAAUGAUACUACAAUAAAACACAAGGCCUGAUGACUAGAUGUCCCUCACAGCUGAUAACCCCAUCGCUCCAUCGAGGUCGUAGGUCACACCUGGGGAGGGUGUGGUCGACCUGGAAGAACACCUUAAACACAUUUUUGUCUGAACUUCUGGACUGUGUUGUAAGAUUUGACACAGAGUUUACUUCCU